RNAcentral lists this ribosomal RNA (497 nucleotides) under uncultured bacterium. Its description in RNAcentral is "partial 16S ribosomal RNA". It matches the Rfam family "Bacterial small subunit ribosomal RNA", at positions 28 to 507 of the family's 1533-position model. The record is from RNAcentral.
GAUGAACGCUGGCGGCGUGCCUAAUACAUGCAAGUCGAGCGAACAGACGAGGAGCUUGCUCCUCUGACGUUAGCGGCGGACGGGUGAGUAACACGUGGAUAACCUACCUAUAAGACUGGGAUAACUUCGGGAAACCGGAGCUAAUACCGGAUAAUAUAUUGAACCGCAUGGUUCAAUAGUGAAAGACGGUUUUGCUGUCACCUAUAGAUGGAUCCGCGCCGCAUUAGCUAGUUGGUAAGGUAACGGCUUACCAAGGCAACGAUGCGUAGCCGACCUGAGAGGGUGAUCGGCCACACUGGAACUGAGACACGGUCCAGACUCCUACGGGAGGCAGCAGUAGGGAAUCUUCCGCAAUAGGCGAAAGCCUGACGGAGCAACGCCGCGUGAGUGAUGAAGGUCUUCGGAUCGUAAAACUCUGUUAUUAGGGAAGAACAAAUGUGUAAGUAACUAUGCACGUCUUGACGGUACCUAAUCAGAAAGCCACGGCUAACUACGUG